This 373-nucleotide ribosomal RNA is filed under the name uncultured organism. Its description in RNAcentral is "partial 16S ribosomal RNA". It matches the Rfam family "Bacterial small subunit ribosomal RNA", at positions 527 to 896 of the family's 1533-position model. The record is from RNAcentral.
GUAGGUGGCAAGCGUUGUCCGGAAUUAUUGGGCGUAAAGCGCGCGCAGGCGGUUCUUUAAGUCUGAUGUGAAAGCCCACGGCUCAACCGUGGAGGGUCAUUGGAAACUGGAGAACUUGAGUACAGAAGAGGAAAGCGGAAUUCCACGUGUAGCGGUGAAAUGCGUAGAGAUGUGGAGGAACACCAGUGGCGAAGGCGGCUUUCUGGUCUGUAACUGACACUGAGGCGCGAAAGCGUGGGGAGCAAACAGGAUUAGAUACCCUGGUAGUCCACGCCGUAAACGAUGAGUGCUAAGUGUUAGGGGGUUUUCCGCCCCCCUUAGUGCUGCAGCUAACGCAUUAAGCACUCCGCCUGGGAGUACGGCCGCAAGGCUG